CCCAAGUGAUUACUCGGCUAUUUUCUUUCUCAGGUGCAGACAUUUCUCCUUCAUCUCUUUUUAUGUUCCAUGGAUCUCUAUGCAUCAAAAUCAAUCUCUUGGUUUUGGAAUUGGUUUGAUUAGAUCUUGUGGUUAUCUUCUAUGAUUUGGUUUUCAAUGGAAAUGCAUUUUUUGGUCAGAUUAUAUAGAUCUAGAAUCCAACCUCAAUGUUCCUAAAAUAUUCUACACCAACAUUUUUUGCUUGAUAGGUCUACAUCCCAUCUCACAUUCUCCACCAAAAAUAAGGAUUUUCUUUCCUGUUAUCCUUUUUCCUAUUAUGGGACGAGAACC
This 330-nucleotide long non-coding RNA is filed under the name Elaeis guineensis (African oil palm). RNAcentral describes it as "long non-coding RNA (EGUI_LNC001778)". Lineage: Eukaryota; Viridiplantae; Streptophyta; Magnoliopsida; Arecales; Arecaceae. The record is from RNAcentral.